ACACAUUUGCAAAUGUAAAAAGUCAGUUAUGACCGUUCUUUACUGCUGUGUUUUCCAGCACCUGAAAUAAGCAAAGAAAAACCAAAGCCAGCACCAAAGAAAGGUAUCUGAGUUCAUCUGUAAGAAUAAUGUCAAAACCUGUAGUAUGGCCAGUUUUAAGACAAUGCUAAUGCUUUCAAUUUUUUUAUAAACUUCAUUUUAGAGGCUUAAGUCAUCAAAGAGAAAGUCAAACCAGCCCCUGAGAAGAAAGGUUUGAGUUGCUUUAACAAUUAAAUAAUAAUUACCAUCCCCAUUCAAAAAUAAUUAUGCUAAAAUGUACCUUUUCUAUAUAUUGUCAUAAUUUUAGAGGCUGAAGUCAAGGAGAAAGCUAAACCAGCCCCCGAGAAGAAAGAGGCUGACGUCAUCAAGGAGAAAGUUAAACCAGCUCCUGUAAAGAAAGGUGCAUGAAUUUAAAUGAAAUCCUCCUGCUUAUGCUGACACUUUCUGCUGUAUGAUGAAUCACAUGAAUGAAAUCAGAUCAAUUUUAAACACUUGCCUGAAGUUGCAAUAGAAAAGGCCCCCGAACCAAAACCCCAAAAUGCUUCGAUAUCUCCCCAC
This 597-nucleotide long non-coding RNA is filed under the name Sinocyclocheilus grahami. RNAcentral describes it as "lncRNA (ENSSGRG00000036350.1)". The record is from RNAcentral. Lineage: Eukaryota; Metazoa; Chordata; Actinopteri; Cypriniformes; Cyprinidae.